Non-coding RNA from Cyanistes caeruleus (blue tit), 405 nucleotides. The record is from RefSeq and is a predicted model, not a curated record. Lineage: Eukaryota; Metazoa; Chordata; Aves; Passeriformes; Paridae.
GGCGGGGUUCGCGCCCAGCGGGAAUGCUGAGGGCAGCGAGUGCUCCCGAUGUCCUGAAGGGACUUUCUCCAGAGGAGGGAAUGAGAACUGCCAGCCUUGGACCAACUGCAGCUUUUUUGGGAAGAGCACGCUCCGAGCUGGCUCGGCAACGGAGGAUGCCCUGUGCAGCAGCCCUGGCCUGGAUCCCAUUCCCACGGGAUUCCUGGAAAACAGGGAUCCUGUUCCCACGGCGUUCCCAGAAAAUAGGGAUUCCGUUCCCACGGCAUUCCCGGAGAGCAGCUCCAACACAUCCGGUCCCAGGGAGAUUCCCGUGGUUUGUCGGGAUCCCGGCGGCCCCACGGAGCCCGGCUGGGGUAAGGCUGGGGAGGGAAUUCCUGGAUUCACACCAAUUCCAGGAUCCCACAU